AAUCCCAAUCCCACAUUGUCUGUAGAAGUAUUUACUUUUGACUGUACACUUUGUUAUUUUCCAAUCCCUCCCCAGUUCUGCAACCAUUUCUCUACUUUCUAUGCUCUUGGCUUGCUAAAAACUAAAGAAAACACAUUGCUCUAGUUGCCUGCCUUCACUCUUCAGAUUGCUCAACAAAUCCCUUGAGACCUUCUCCAUAGUUAACACAUCACAUAAUGGCUACUCUAAAAAAUUUAGCCAUAAACAUUGAACACCUUAAGCAAUCAACGUGCCUUCCUUCACAAUAUGCAUCACCCAUAAAUCUUUCUUUUGGGAUGUCGCCGGGAGUUUAAAUUUCCGAGUGUAAAAAUUACUCAAUGAAAAAGCGAGCACUAACGCACCUUCUCCACAAACUACCAUAAAUAUAUAAAUAUAUUAUGAAAACAAGAUAAAAAGAAAUCUUUCGGUACAUCUAUAUAUAUAUAUUAUGGCUAUGAAAAUAGGUUUGUGGAAAUUUACAUCAUUUGAUCUUGACAGUGUCAGAUUAGACAAUUGCAUGGAAAUGGUCUUCUUAGUUUGCCGUGUGGAAAAUCAUGUCAUUUACGGGGCUGCUGGAGAGAGUGUCUAUUGAUAAUUUUAUCUUAUUUGCAUUGACCGGUAAUUUCACUCGAAAAUUUCUAGUAAUUUAAAAGCAAAUUUCUACUGACUAUUAUUGACUGGCUUCUUGCAAAGUAUUUGUAAGAAAGCUAAAGAAUUAAAGUUUUUUAAUUUUUAAAAUUGUAAGAAAAAAAUCAAUUAUUUUUAAAAUUGUUUUCAAAAAUAAAACACCAACUAUUUAUAUAAUAGCUAAAUCUAUUAAGAUAAAUCCAAAAUAACUAGUAAAAUCAGUGACUUGCAUUGACGGUGUAAUGAUCUGGAACCACUCGCAAUAAAUAAAGCCAAAAAAGGCAGACGAGUGUGUCUAUAUAUACAUAUAGGAACCGCUGAUUCGAUUUGAAUAUGUUAUUUGAUUAGUCUAAUUCAUGACUUGCAUUGACUCAAGAUUACCACUCAAGAUUUCGUGGUGCUUUCUCGGCCUGCAAAUGAAUAGAAAGCAUGUCGUUUUAACCUCAUUUCAAUAUCCUUGCUUUACUCUCCAGCUAGCCUGAUACAUAUGAGUCUCAAGACAUACGGCCAUUGAUAGAAAGGAGUGCUGAAGCAAAAUAUUUUUUUAUCUGUAGCGACCUCAAUAAUGUUAAAGCGUGGACCACCAUGAAAUUACCGCUCCAAAUUCCUUGUUCUUUCUAUAUUAUUAGAAAAAUUAUCAUUGACUAAUUUAAUUGGAAAUUAUUUGCGAGAAAGCUAAAAAGAAUUAAAGUUUUUUAAUUUAUAAAAUUAUAAUUUUAAAUUGUAAAAAAAUUCAAUUAUUUUAAAAAAUAAAACAUCAACUAUUUAUAUAAUAGCUAAAUAAAUCUAUUAAAAUAAAUUGAGAAUAACUAGUAAAAUCAAGCAAAUAAUCCAAAAAUAACAAGAAAAUAAAUAUAUUUCCUAGAUCUAAUUUGAUUAUAUUUAUUAUCUUGAUUGACUUACUUGUUAAGUCUUCGCUAAGCAUAAAUGAACUUUAAUCUAAGAAUCUGUUUUAUAUUUCUUCAUUUAUUAAUGAAAUAUUACUUCUACUGUAUAGUUUUUGGUUCCGAGUUGAUCCACCAGAUUAAUAGGUGAACAAUAUAUUUUGUCUCCACAGGUUAUAACAUCAUUUCAAUAUCUUUAAACAAAAUCUUUGUUAAACUGCACCAUUGGUAAUUGAUUAUGCCUUAAUUUCUGCAGCUGCCAGGACAGAGCCAGAGUCUUCUCGAUCUAGACCAGAAGGGGCCUAUGAUGUCUUCUUGAGUUUUAGAGGAGAAGACACUCGCAAGACAUUUACAGAUCAUCUCUACACUGCCUUAGUCCAAGCAGGAAUCCACACUUUUCGAGAUGAUGAUGAACUUCCGAGAGGAGAAGAAAUCUCCGAUCAUCUCCUCAGGGCAAUUCAAGAAUCAAAGAUAUCCAUAGUUGUCUUCUCAAAGGAUAUGCUUCUUCUAGAUGGUGUCUCAAUGAACUUGUAGAGAUUCUUAAGUGCGAAAAUAGGAAAACCGGUCAGAUUGUUCUUCCUAUAUUCUAUGACAUUGAUCCUUCAUAUGUCAGAAAACAGAAUGGCAGUUUUGCAGAAGCAUUUGUUAACCAUGAAGAGCGUUUUGAAGAGAAGUUGGUGAAGGAGUGGAGAAAAGCUCUUGAGGAGGCUGGAAAUCUAUCUGGAUGGAAUCUCAAUGAUAUGGCAAAUGGGUAUGCCUUUUCUCUCUAAAAUUCACUUGCAGACGUUUAUGGAGUAAUUCUACAUUACAUUUUUCAAUGUGAAGUAAUAAAAUAUUUCUUUUUAGCAUACUUAAUUGACUUGCUAUCGAUGACUUGCUUUUUUUCUGUGAGCAGGCAUGAAGCAAAAUUUAUCAAAGGGAUUAUCAAUGAUGUGUUGAAUAAAUUACGUCGCGAGUGCUUAUAUGUUCCUGAGCAUCUGGUAGGUAUGGAUCUUGCUCACGAUAUUUAUGACUUUCUAAGUACUGCAACAGAUGAUGUACGCAUUGUGGGCAUACAUGGGAUGCCAGGAAUAGGAAAGACGACUCUAGCAAAAGUUGUAUUUAAUCAACUCUGCUAUAGAUUCGAGGGAAGCUGCUUUCUUUCGAAUAUCAAUGAAAGUUCAAAACAAGUUAAUGGUCUUGUUCCUUUACAAAAGCAACUUCUUCAUGAUAUUUCAAAACAAGAUGUUGCUAACAUCAAUUGUGUCGAUAGAGGAAAGGUUAUGAUCAAAGAUCGACUUUGUCGCAAAAGAGUUCUUGUUGUUGCUGAUGAUGUGGCUCAUCUGGAACAGCAGAAUGCAUUGAUGGGAGAGCGAAGUUGGUUUGGUCCCGGAAGUAGAGUAAUCAUUACAACAAGAGAUUCAAAUCUUCUUCGUGAAGCAGAUCGAACAUAUCAGAUCGAAGAAUUGAAACCACAUGAGUCCCUUCAGCUUUUCAGCAGGCAUGCCUUUAAGGACUCCAAGCCAGCACAAGAUUAUAUUGAGCUUUCGAAGAAAGCCGCUGGUUACUGUGGAGGACUUCCUUCAGCUCUUGAGGUUACAGGAGCUCUUCUGUACAGGAAAAACAGAGGUAGAUGGGAAAGUGAAAUGGACAACUUGAGCAGAAUUCCAAACCAAGAUAUUCAAGGAAAGCUUCUAAUAAGUUAUCACGCACUUGAUGGUGAACUACAAAGGGCAUUCCUUGAUAUUGCAUGCUUCUUUAUUGGUAUAGAGAAAGAAUACGUCGCAAAAGUGCUAGGAGCCCGUUGCCGUCCCAAUCCAGAAGUUGUUUUGGAAACUCUCAGUGAAAGGUCUCUGAUUAAAAUAUUGGGAGAGACGGUAACCAUGCAUGAUCUAUUACGAGAGAUGGGAAGGGAGGUCGUUUGUAAAGCGUCCCCAAAAGAACCUGGAAAGAGGACCAGAAUUUGGAAUCAAAAGGAUGCAUGGAAUGUACUUCAACAGCAGAAGGUACGAGCUCAAUGCAUACAUGAAAGCGUAGUCAUGUGUAUUUUCUCAAUGCAAACAUGAAAGCAUAGUCAUGCGUAUUUUCUUGUCAAACUUAUUACAAAUAAUUGAAUGAAAGUUGUAUUGAUUUUUUUUUUAGGGUACGGAUGUUGUAGAGGGUCUUGCACUGGAUGUCAGAGCAUCAGAAGCUAAAUCACUUAGCGCAGGAUCAUUAGAAAAAAUGAAAUGCUUAAAUUUACUCCAAAUCAACGGAGCACAUCUCACCGGAUCCUUCAAACUGCUUUCUAAAGAGUUGAUGUGGAUUUGUUGGCAUGAAUGUCCUUUGAAAUAUUUUCCAUCUGAUUUUACCUUGGACAAUCUAGCUGUUCUUGAUAUGCAGUACAGUAACCUCAAAGAACUAUGGAAGGGAAAAAAGGUGCGAAACAUGCUGGAAUCCCCAAAAUUUCUCCAGCAUGUAAUUUAUAUUUACAUGUUAUGACUUUCUAUGAUUAAUUGUCAUUAUUUUACUCUCUCUUAUGACAGAUUCUCGACAAGCUAAAAAUCCUUAAUCUCAGUUAUUCUCAUCACCUUAUUAAAUCACCAAAGUUGCACAGUUCAAUUCUAGAGAAACUAAUUCUGAAAGGUUGCUCAAGUUUAGUUGAGGUGCAUCAAUCAAUUGGACAUUCGACGAGCCUCGUUUUCUUGAAUCUCGAGGGAUGUUGGAGUCUGAAGACUCUCCCUGAAAGCAUUGGUAAUGUAAAGUCUCUUGAAACUAUGAAUAUUUGUGGGUGUUCACAACUUGAGAAAUUGCCAGAAGGCAUGGGUGAUAUGAAAUUCUUAACUGAGCUGCUAGCCGAUGAGAUUAAAACUGAGCAAUUUCUCUCUUCAAUUGGGCAAUUAAAGUAUAUCAAAAGGUUAUCAUUGCGUGUUUCAAAUUUGAAAUGUUGGCUGCCAACAUCUUUCACUGAAUGGAGAUUAGUGAAAUAUCUUAAGCUUUACUGUGUUGAUUUUAGAGGUAUGUUCUCUCUAAAAGUAUUGGAUCUAAGAGGAAACAAAUUCUCUAGCCUGCCUUCUGGGAUCGGCUUCCUUCCCAAGCUAUCGUACUUGGUUGUUAAGACAUGUGAAUAUCUUGUAUCAAUCCUAGAUCUUCCCUCAAGUUUAUGCCUUUUGGAUGCAUCUUAUUGCAAAUCAUUGGAAAGAGUAAGAAUACCAAUCGAGGCAAAAAAAGAACUAUGUGUAAAUAUAUAUAUGAAAGUCUUUCGGUAGAAGAGAUUCAGGGCAUCGAAGGUUUAAAUAAUAGUUUCUGGUAUGUUAGUGUUACAUCACCAAAUAAAUUACAGAAGAGCAGUCAUUCACCAAAUAAAUCACAGAAGAGCGUUGUUGAGGUACUAUUUCUUUUAGUCUCUCUUGCACAAGAAGAAACACACACAAUUGGCACAUACAUUGAUUAAUGUCUAAAAUCGCAGCAUUCCUUGAAAUUAAUAUGUAUACAUACAAUUAUUAUUUUAAUUUAAAAAAUAAAUAUCAUCUUUAAUAAUAUUUUCUUAUUUUUCUUAUUUAAUCUAAAAAAUUAAAUAUUAUCUUUAAUAAUAUUUUUUAUAAAAUAUUUAAAGUCUUUGGUUUUCUUUUUUAUUUCUUGAUUUUAUGAUAAUAUAUUUAUACAGGCAAUGUGCAACCGUGGUCACGGGUAUCGUAUUAGCUUCAUUGUUGAUGAUCUACUUGAGAUGCCAGAUUGGAUGAGCUACAGGGCAGAAGGAUGCGCAUUGUCAUUCCAUAUACCUCCAGUCUUCCAUGGCUUAGUUCUUUUGUUUGAGAAGAGUACUCAUCUUUACACAGUCACUAACAUUAUUAUUAUUAUAAGAAAUAAAAGCAACGGAAGAAUAUUGUUUAAAGAUAAACGAGCACAGAUAGGAAUACAUAUAUUUAUGCAGGGAUGGUUAAGAUACAUAAGUAGAAGUGAAAUGGCAAUGGAAGAUUACUGUGGAGAUGACGAAUUGGAACUAUACAUAUAUUCACAGCAAUCAGAGUAUGCAACGGUCAUUCAUUCGAACCCGUACACGUUAAAGAAUGUGGGGUCCAUGUGAUCGCAGAGAAGUUAGAUUCAUUUGAAGAGUCGGCAGUGGGAAGAGAUACAGUGAUGCCUUCACCACCGCUGUAUCAUCUGCUUCCUCAUCCUCAUCGUGGUUCAAUUACAACGUCUACACCUAAGCAAUGGUGUGACUUUUUACUUGCGGAGCUGCAAAACCAUAACCUCAGUUUAUUGCUUCUUGGUAAGAACAAAUAUUUCCUUUAGUUAUUUUUAUUCUAUUCUAUUUAAUUUAUGAGAUUAAAUAUUAUCUUUAAUUAUUUCAUUAUUACUAUUUAAUAUAAAAAAUUAAAUAUCAUUUUUAAUAAUAAAAAAUUAAAUAUUUAAGGCUUUUUGGUAAGAAUACAUAUUUCCUUUAGUUAUUUCUAUUUUAUUCUAUUUAAUUUAAGAGAUUAAAUAUCAUCUUUAAUUAUUACAUUUUUCUUAUUUUUUAUUUUUUGAUUUUAUGAUAAUAUUUUUCUUGAUUAAUAUAAAAAAUAAAUAUUAUCUUUAAUAAUUAGAUCUAUCGAAUAUCACUCAAAAAAAUAAAUUAUAUCUUUAAUAAUUAUUUUUUGAAAAACAAAAAGCCAACAAUCACUAACAUAUUUUAUUAAAAUCACUUUAGUUUAUUUAGGAAAUAUUGAAAACUGAUUUUUGUUUUUUUACAUUUAAAUAAAAAAUUGAAUAAUGUUUUUAUAUUUUAUUUCAAAUUAAAUAUUUUAAAACAAAAAUAAAAACAAAAUGAUAUUAACCUUUUUUAUUAUAAAGUAAGUUUCUUAAUUAAAAGUGAAGGGGAUUUGUUUGUAAUAACAAAAUGCAUAUAUAAUCAUGCACGGUUAACUUUAUUUCCAAACUUGAAAGUUCUACUGAAUUUGAUGGUUUUAUAGGUAAGAAGGAGCUGGAUGGAUGAGUUAUUUUACAUAGAGAUGCUUGAAGUUACUUCAAAUUAGUACGGUAUUUCUAUCUGAUGUAUUGAUAUGUAUUUGUUGGCUUGAAGAUCAUUUUCCAAGUUUGGAAGUUUUAUUGAAUGCUCUUUGAAAUCUUUUCCAUUCGCUUUUAUAAUUGUGUAGGUUUCAAUUAAAAGGGAUUGAAUUAAGGAAGUAUGUUAAAAAAUAAUAUAAAUUAUAUUUUAAAAUUUAUUUUAAUAGUUUAAAUUUUUAGAUGGAUAGUUUUUUUGACAGGUAAAAGAUAUAGUUUUACAAUAAAAUAUAUUUUUUGAAAUGAAAUUAUAUUAAAUUAAGCAUGCUCGAGAUUGUUCAAAUUAUUAAUUAAUUAUAAUUAACUUUAUGUCUUUAGAGGAAACAGAAGGGAAGGACAAGAUUAUCUUCCCCACACCAAUAGACCUAGCCCACUUUCCAAACCAGUCCCCUGGUAAAUAGAAUGAUGGUCCCAUAUUUUUCUUUCCAGCCCGUCAAGCAGUUUUAUCUCCCUCACUGGACCACUUUAGAAUGGGAAUCACACUAGGAAAUUUAAAAGUAGUUUGAAGUAUCAUUAAACCUGAUAAAAAUAAACAACCAAUAAUAAUAUGGUUGGGAUUUAAAAAAAAAUUGAUAAAAAAACUAAAAUAAAACAAAUUAAAAUAAACAAAAAACUUGAAAAAAAUUAAUUCAACCCUUUCUUCGUAAAAAAGAGAAGUAAUUGGGUAUUAAUUUACGGUCAAAAGAGUACAAUAAUGCAAAGAAAAAAAAGAGUAUGAGGGUAUUGAUUUUAUUAUUUGUUAGGUAACUAUGGAAUCUAAUCUGUUGAUGUGGAAAAUAGCACAAAUUAAGUUUUUGGCAUGGCCAUUGGUGAGAAGCAAAAGCAGUAGCAGUCCAUCAGGACCAUCACCAUCCUAUCGCCGACAUUCCAAGUGUGAAAGUGUAUUAUUGUCAUAAAGUUUUUCAAACGAAACAAUACGAUAAAUUUAAACUAUAGAGAGAUAAUUAAAUAAAUAAGUAGAAAGCGCAAAAGAAACAAUACGAUAAAUUUAAACUAUACUAAAGGUCAGUUUUUCACUCUGUGUGAAUCUACCGUGAAAGCUUGAUUUUGCACAUGGUAGAUAAAUUUAGGUUUAGGAGUAUAAUUUUUUAUAUAUAAUUACACUAAAGAAGAAUAUUAAUCAAAUAACCCUUAAAAAAAUUCCUUUUAGUUUAGGGUUUAUUUUUUUUCAUCUCAAUUACUUAAAUAUCCCUAAAAAAUAAACUCUCUUUACUAUGGAUGCAAGGUUAUUUUAGAUUUUCUGCUAUUUUUUUUUUAAAAAAUUCUCAUGUAAGAUUAGAGGUGAUUUGGUAUUUUAAUAUAUAAAUUAAUAUUAAAAUUCAAAAGCAGUUGGUGUCUCCCACACCUUUUGGAUGGCGCCUACGACUUCCACACAAAACCGAAUGUUACCGUCUAAGGCAGCGUUUGAUGCGUUUCACCACCGUUGUCACGGUGGUGGCACACGUGUUCUCUGAUGGCAUGUAGAGGAGCACGCGGAGGAGCUCCUUUCUCUUUUUCCUCUCUCGACCUAGAAAAUCAUGUUGACCAUUGAAAAAAAAAAAAACAAAGAAAGUCUAACUAUUUAUUUGUUAAGUUAAAUUAGGUCCUUAUUCUUUUGAUAACAAUGCAUUUGGUCUUGAGCUAUUUAUUAAGUUAGUUGUUUUUUCAUUUUCAUUAAUUUACACUUUGUUUUUAUAUUAGAUUUAAUCCUUAUUCUUUUAACUGUGAUGUUUUUUGUUGUCUUAAUUCCUUUAUUGAAUUAAAUUGUCUUUGAAUUUUAUCUCUUGAUAUUUUAUUUUUAUAUCAAAUAUGAUCCUUAUUUUUUUAUUGUUAUUUUUAGUUAUUUUUAUUAUUUUCUUAAUUGAAAUUGUUUUUUAAUUUCAUCCCUUAUGAUUUGGUUUUAUUUACUUUAUGUAUCAAAUUUGGUUCUCUUUCUUUUCAAAUCUACAUCUUUAAAAAUAAAAUUUAAUUUUUUUCAAGUUUAUCCCUAAUUAUUUUGGUUGGUUUAGAUUUUAUAUUGUUAUUUUUUAUUUUUCUUUUACAUUGUGAUAUAGCCUUAUGAUUGUGUCACAAAUUCUAAAAGUUGGACAGGGAUGACUUCAAUUAUUUUUAGAAAUUUUCAUUCUUCAAUUCAAUUAUAUAUAUAUAUAAAAGGUUUGACGCUUAAUAUAUUUUUGUAUUGAUUUUAUCAUUUUAUAAUUUGAUUUAUAAUGCAGUCCUAUUAUAUAUGGACCAGGACAACAAUAUCAUUCAAAUGUUAGUAAUAGAAUAACUUUUACAUAUUUUAAUAUUUAAAAAUUAAAAAAAUACAGUGUAACUGUUUUGUAUAAAUUCUAAAAGUAAGGACUCAUUUGUGCUUGGUAAAAUACCUCACAAUAAAGUUAAUAAAUAAUAACACAAGAAAAGAACAAAAGUUAAUAAAUAAUAUAUAGCAUGUCUUACACUGCUUUAAUAGAUUAUUCCAGUAAGAGCACAGAGAGAAGAGCGGUUCAAGACAGAACAAUGAUGUAUAAAUUAAAAAAAUAUAAUCUCUUAUAGGAAUCUCUUUAUUAAAUAAUCAAAAUAUUAAAGUCUAUUUCCAAAGACUAUUACUACAGUUUUUAUAUAUAUAAAAAUAGAAACAACUAAAUAGAGAAAUUAUUAUUUUUUAAAUUGAAAAAGUUGAAAAGCUUGAUAAUAUUGAGUAAGAAAUAAAAUAUAAAAAUAAUUCCUUUUAAAUAAACAAAUAUAAAAGUUUAAUAGUACUGAAUAGAAAAAAAAAUAGAAUUUCUAAACUAAAUAAAAGUAACUGAAAAAAGUAUUUAUUAUUCCAAAAAAAUUGAUGUUAAAAUCUCAUUUAUCAUAUUUUAUAUCUAUAAAAAGCUAAUUUGUCAUAUGGAAUAAGUCUAUAUGCUAAAAUCAGAAAAAACAAAUGUAACAAAAAAAAAUUCCACCAAAGGCUGUGAUUAGCAGAUUAUCUGAUGGAAAGAUGAUGAACAUUUUUUAGUCAAUUAAGUUCAUUUCACAUGAUUUUUUUAUUCUUGUCAAUUAAUCUUAAAGCAAGAUUCCAAGAUAAGCCUAAAAAAUAUUUAUUAUUAAUCAACAAUAUGGAAUAAUAACUUGUUUUCUAAUAUAAAUUAUAAUUUGAAAUAAAAUUGAUAAAAGAGUAAGGCGCAUUUUGUAUACAAAAUUAAUGACGGAAUCGUAUAUUUUAAGACUAAAUUAAAGUUUUUCAAUUACAUUUAAACAUAUUAUGGUUUUAAUAAACGUACGAUGCAUCCUUUGAUUUUAUUACAGGGAACGUGAAAUAUUGUAAAUUAUGGAGGGGAAUCAAAAUAUUUGUUAGCAGUAACCUCAGUAAUGUUUAAAAAAAAUUGUUGUGGAAACUUUGCAAAGGAUCUGAAGGAAGAAAAAUGAUUGAAUUGAUAAUAAUUUGCAAGAGAGAAUUCUUUCACUGAAUAGAAAAAAAAAUAUUAUUUUUAAAAUAAAAACAAUAAAUAUAAAAAUUAUUAUUUUUUAAAUAGAGAAACUAGAAAGUCCUGAUAAUAUUAAAUAAAAAAUAAAUACAAAAAUUAUUCUUUUCAAGUAGAAAAAAUUAUAAAAGUUUAAUAAUACUGAAUAGAAAUAAAUAAAAUUUCUAAACUAAAUAAAAAUAUUUAUUAUCCCAAAAAUUCUUAUAUCAAAAUCUCAUUUAUCAUAUUUUGUAUCUAUAAAAAACUAAUUUGUCAUAUGUACUGGGUCCAUAUGCUAAAACCAGAAAAAAAAAUGUAACAAAAAAAAAAUUCCACACAAGGCUGUGAUUAAGAGAUUAACAAGAUGAUAGAUAUUUUUUAGUAAAAUGAAUUCCAAUUCAAAAUAGCAAAAUAAGGUUUUUUGAGGCUUUUCUAGUAUAUAAAAAAAUCAAAUUAUACAAGAUUUAUUAUUAAUCUUUGAUAUUUAUUAUUGAUCAUCAAUAAUCAAUAUUAAAUGAUGACUUAUUUUCUAGUAUAAACUAUGUUUGAAAUAAAAUUGAUAAAACACAUUAUAUAUAAUUAAUGAUGGGAUCGUAUAUAAAAAUAAUUAAAUUGAGAUUUUUCAAUUACCUUUAAAUAUAUCAUAGUUUUAAUCGGUGGUGGACGAUAUAACAUAUGUAAAUUAUAAAACAAGCAUUUAUUUUUCUGAUAUAUACAUAAUUGUCGCACCCGGACAUCGCGGCGACCUUAAAAAUAAUAUUUCAUGGAAAAGAACAGAUUUCUGGCAUCCUGUUCUUUAAUGGAGAAUGGUCUCGUUUAAGGAGUCGCCACCUAGUAUUAUGGUCACUAGGAACCCUAACUGGUCAACAGAGAUUCUAUGGUACGGGACUGGUUACGUAAAAGAGAAGAUAUUAUCACCCCUUAAACGUUCUGCCUGAGGCAGACUGCAUUGCUGGUUUUGUCUUAAAUUGCUAAAUGUUUAUUAGUUUACGCUAUGAUAAUUUGCUUAUAAUAUUCCUGACUCUGGCGUCAGUGAAUAUUCAACUACGAAUAUCUCCAACUCUGGCGUUGGUAAAUAUUACGUAGUUAUAAAAUAAAUUAGAUCAAUAUUUUUUUAUUACCUACUCUAGCAGUGAAUAAAUAAAUAAAAAUAAAUUUAUUUUUAAACAUGCACAUAUUUUUUUAUUUUUCUAGCUAAAUAAAAUAAAUAUAACGAAUAAAAAUAAUAUAAAUUUAAACCGGUAUUUUUAUUCCUGACUCUGGCAUCAGUGAAUAAACCAAUAAAUUUACAUUAUUUUUAUUUAUGCAUACACAUUUUUAUUUUUAUUUUUUUCUAAUAAUGAAUAAAAAUAAUAUAAAUUUAAACCGAUAUUUUUAUUCCUGACUCUGGAGUCAGUGAAUAAACCAAUAAAUUACAUUUUUUUUAUUUUUUUCCUAGGACUAUUUUUCCUACAUUUUUUUAUAUUUUUUUAUUUUUUUCCUAGGACUAAGCUUCACACGUGUAUGCAAAAGUAGUGAAUUAAAUUGGCCUAUGUACAGUACCCAUGCAAUUAGAAUUGCAAAGCAAAGGGAAAUGAAGAACUUACCUGUGCAGGAGGCGAAGUCGAAGACGGUGGCGAAGGUGUGCUGAAUUGCCAAAGCUACCUUCUCUCCUUCUCUGUUUUUAUUCUUCGUGCGCUUCUCCUCUGGUUUUGCUUUUCUUUACUUUGAUUGCUUCUCUUAUUCUUCCUGUCUCCCCCCCUGUGUUUGCUUGUUCUCAGUUCGCUUGUGUUUUCUUUUUUUAUCUGUUGUUCAGGGAAUGGAGGAGCUGGUGUAAGUGGAGACAAAGCAGCUGAUGCCUGAGAGGGCGUUGUACUGCUGCUGGAGCUGGAAGAGGCGCGCGUUGCUGGUUGCUGAUGCAUGCUCACGGUGCAUGGAAGUGGCUGAGUUGCUACUAAUCUUGACGAUACUGGUUUCGUCCGCUGUAAAAGUUUUCGUGCCCCUGCAUCCGAUCAAAGCUUGUGCUUUUCCAAGCAAAAGCCAUGGUCCCUUGAAACUCAGCAGAUUUUCGGAGCAAGGAGGAUCGCAUGCCAAUGUAGUUCAUGGUUCUGGUUUAGAGGCAGACGUGGCGGAGAUUAAUGGUGAUUGGGACCACAGCCUAGAAGGUGACCGGGAGGAAGAUGAUCUCGAGCCUUUAUUUGCUUCUUCUUUUUUUGUGAGGAGUUUGCAGAUCCCGGGGGUUGAGAAUGAAGAAUGAAAAAUCAGUUUGAUGGGGAAGAGAUUGAGGCCAGGCAAGAAGGGAGGAAAAGUCUGGGGGGAGGGGGCAGCGGCGGCUAGUCUAGGACUCGGCCGCGCCCCUUUUUUUUUUUGUAAAUGUCUUUUGUUUCUUUUUUUUUAUAUAGGUUUCUGGUAAUGAUCUUCUCCUGGGUUUUUUUUUUGUGUCGUUUAAGGUUCCUCUCUAAUCGUCUUCCUCUCCCCUCCGUUUUUCAUACCCUGAGAUCUGUAUUUAUAGUGCCAGAGUCCCUUCGCUUGUGAGAAACCAAGUUUCAAUCAAACUCAUUCUAUUUUUUGAAGUUUGAAUUUGAUUAAGAAUCAAAUUUGAAAGCGGAUAACUAUCAUUAUCUUAAAGACAAGGAUUAUCUCGAAGAUAAAGAUUAUCUUGAAGAUAGGGAUUAUCUUGAAGAUAAAGAUAGAAUGAUAAAAGCACAUUGUAGUCCUUAAUUUUCACGGAAGUUGACAAAUCACACUUUUCAUCGAAAUAAAUCUCUGAUCUUUUAAUUUUUCAUUUUAAACCCUGUAAAAAUUAAAUUAAAAGUCAAAGGGCCAAAAUUGGGUCAUGACAGUUGCCCCCUCUUUACAAUGCUUACGGUGCAAAUGCAUUAGAAAAUUUAUUUUCUUUUGACUUUGUAUAGUAAGUUUUGUAAAGAAAAAUAAUUGUGAAAGCCCUUCCUCUUUUCCUCCUUUUUUUUUUCUUCUCUUUUUUUUGAUUGAUUUUUUUGCUUUUUUUUUUUAAAUGGUCUAAUUGUUCCAGGCGACCUGCCUGAUAAAGAAUAAAAUGCGAAAAGGGUUUCGCGAGUGGUCUAAUUGUUCCAGGCGACCUGCCCGAUGAUUGAAAAAUACGAGGAUUUUUUUUUGUGAUGGUAUAUUGUAAUGGGUUACCGGCCCAGAUGGUCACAUUGUAAUGGGUUACCUGCCCAGUAUAGGAUGGUAUAUUGUAAUGGGUUACCGGCCCAAAUGGUCACAUUGUAAUUGGUUACCUGCCUAGUAUAGGAUGGUAUAUUGUAAUGGGUUACCAACUCAGAUGGUCACAUUGUAAUGGGUUACCUGCCCAGUAUAGGAUGGUAUAUUGUAAUGGGUUACCGACCCAAGUGGUCACAUUGUAAUGGGUUACCUGCCUAGUAUAGGAUGGUAUAUUGUAAUGGGUUACCGACCCAGAUGGUCACAUUGUAAUGGGUUACCUGCCCAGUUGGUCACAUUGUAAUGGGUUACCUGCCCAGUGGAUGGUAUAUUGUAAUGGGUUACCGACCCAGAUGGUCACAUUGUAAUGGGUUACCUGCCCAGUGGAUGGUAUAUUGUAAUGGGUUACCGACCCAGAUGGUCACAUUGUAAUGGGUUACCGGCCUAGUUGGUCACAUUGUAAUGGGUUACCUGCCCAGUGGAAAAAUACGAGGAUUUUUCAGAUGGUCACAUUGUAAUGGGUUACCUGCCCAGAUGGUCACAUUGUAAUGGGUUACCGGCCCAGUUGGUCACAUUGUAAUGGGUUACCUGCUUAGUGGAAAAAUACGAGGAUUUUUUUUUAAGACAUGAUAGGGCUCGAAGGCGCAUUAUUCAAUAGAUGGAAGCUCGAGGGAAAUGAGGGCUUGAAGGCGCCCUCAAAAGAAGGUAGGAUAGGAAAUGCACUACCUUUGAUGGUCGAGGGCUCGAAGGAGCGCUCGAAUGGAGGUAGGAUAGGAAAUGCACUACCUUUGAUGGUCGAGGGCUCGAAGGCGUGCUCGAAAAGAAAUAAGAUGAGGGCUCGAAGACGCGCUCGAAAGGAGGUAGGAUAGGAAAUGCACUACCUCAGGAGUGGAAACUGAAAGGUGGUGGGAAAAUAGAGAGAUUUUUUCAGGUGGCCUAAUUCUCAUGGGCGGCUUGCCCAGGUUGAAAAAUUCUCAAAAGUGAAAAUUUUUUCAAAAGCAAUUUCAAUGUUCGCCAUUUCAAGUUGGCCUUCCGCUUGAUGGAUUCCGUCAGAAUUUUUUUCUAAUAAAAUUUGCAAAACUCAUUGUCCAAUGUCUCAAAGUUUAAAUGAUAUGCAUGCAUCUUUACCUGAUUUGAAAUAUAGGCCCCCCAUUUCUUCUUAGUCUUCUCGUGGCUUGGUUGGUGAGAUCUUGCUAUCUGAUUUGAGUCAUCUUUGUCGUUUGGCUUUCUAGCCCACUCGAGUUAGCCCAUAUAAGACUUUUUCCAGAUUUGUUUGCACAACUCAGCCUUUGUGGUGCCCAUCGUGACCCACUUGCUUGCUAGAGAUUUUCUGUCUCGUCAAAUAGUUUGAGGGGAUCAUUCAUUACUCCUCGUCUCACUGAUAAAAAUAUUUGGUGUCACUUGCUGAAAGGAUCAAACUGUCUUUCGUAAACCAAAAUGCCCCCUUGUCUUGUUGUAGGAAAUGUUCCUUCUUUUUUUUUAGAACAGAUAGAUUUUUCUUAAGCACAAUAUUGCCCCCUUGUACUAGUCAUUGCCCCCAAGUGUGCCCUGUCAGCGACUUAGACAAAUAAUGGUUUUAAGAGACCAUUCUCUCAUUUCUCUCCUUUUCAGUUUGGUGAAGGAAUAUGGGUUUAGAAUGAAUCUUGAAAUCUUGAUCUUGCAUUUUGAAAACAAAAAAUUAUUUCGAUGUGAGUCUAAAACAAUUUGCUUUUGAAAUCUUGCAACUCCUUGGUUAUUUUCUUUCUUGGAAAAGAGAUUAUUUGCUCUUGUGUUUGGCAAUGAGAUCUUUGAUGAAAAUACGUCAUGAGAUGACCUUUUGUUUUUAUAGGUUUUUAAAGUGGAGGGCUCGAGAAAGAGCUCGAGGUUUUGUAUGAGAAAAACUUGUCUCUUUUUUUAACAUUUAUUUUUAUCAGCAUCAAUAAUAAUGAGUAGCUUAUUCUUGAUGUCAUGAAUCUUAUGAAAAAGUAUUCUUUGCAUUUUGAGAGCAUUGUUUAUUGUUCUAGGUUGCUUGCUUGCUUGAUUAGAAAGGACUUCUACAGGCACAUAACGUAGGCUGUGGUUUUUGGCUAUGAAAGAAAAGGAUUCAUAAGGCUCAAAGAGUGUUUCAGGGUUUCAAAGAAUGAAGAUCACAAUCAACAGUUUGACUCUUGACGUCAUUCAUAUUUUCUUUUGCCGCUCUUCUUUGAUUUGCCUUUUUUUCUUUUUUCUUUUUCAUUGCUUUGCUAGAGCAUACUCACUUUAUCUUGGUUAUCACUUUUUCUUGUGAUUUGGGCAUGCCCCCUAGCAUUUGAGUUUCUUGGGCUCUUUUGCCUUUUGACUUUCUCACGGCUUUAUUAUCUUUCUUGAUCAUUGAAAUUUCACUUGCCCCCAGUGUGGGGUGUGAUCCUAGUCGGGAUUUUUUCAUGAAAGAAAAAUUAUUCAGGCUCAAAAAGGGAUCGCAAGGGAUGUACUUAUUUCAGAAUAUGAAAGGAAUAACAAAGAUGGCAUUUCCUCAUUUCAAGCGCAAGCAGUUAAGAUCAAUAAACUUUGACCUCAUCUAGUGUGAUAGUUUGGUCUUUGCAAAGAUGCAUUUCAAGGGUCAUGAGCAACAAGUUCACUACAUACCAUUAUUCAUACAUUUAAAAACACAUGAUUCAAGAGUCGUGGGGUAAGGGUGUUUAUUUAUUUCUUUUCUCUUUUUUCUUUUUUUCUUUUUGGUUUAUAAUUUAGUCACCUCAUUGAUGGAGUUACUUGAUUAACACGUAGAAUGUUAAAAAUAUGGUUUUUGAAUAAACAUCAAGUUAUUUUCGGAAUCAAAAUGCAAGAUCAAUUUUUUCAAAACUCUAAUAGGGAAACUGAUUUUUGGUAACAGAGACAAAUUGCGUCUAUGAGAUCGCACAAGGCUUCAAAGAUGUGUUUGUGAGUCUUUAUAAGAAAACUCUCUCAGAAAAAUGAAUAAUGCUAAUCGUACACACGAUUGAAUGACAAACUCAUUAUUUUCAUUGAAACUUUGGAAAAUAAGUUCAACAAGAAAGAACUCAUGACAACAUCUUGGGCUAUGAAUACUGGCAUGAUAGCAUAUAAAGGGGCUAAACAUUUAACAAUCAUUGAUUGGAAUUUCUGGAAUCAUUCAUUCUCCUUGACAAGGGCAUCUCUUCAAUAGUCAAUAAUAUCACCAUAGCUUUAUCUUCAAGAUAGUUGAUUUCUAAAAAUUGGUGUGAAGCAAUUAGCUAUAGGAACGAUAACUGUCUUGGCAGCCACCUUCAGUGAAACCGUUCUUCUUAGUUAGGUUAGCAAUCUUACAUAACCCAAUGGCUUGUUCAAUCCUCUCAGCUAUAACAACCAGGUCAGUGAAAUGUUGCGCAGAGCUUCUAACCAAGUAUUCAAAGUAUGAAGCUUUAAAGUUGUUGGAAAAUAAACUGAUCAUCUCUUUUUCCAACAUAGAAGGGUUAACCUGUGCAGCUACCUCCCUCCAUCUUCGAGCGUAUUUCCUUAUGGACUCCUUAUUGUCCUUCUCCAUAGCUUGCAAGUUUAAACGAUCAGAGUCCACGUCUAUAUUGAACUUAUAUUGUCUCAUGAAGGCAUCAACUAAAUCCUUCCAUUUUUUAACCUUGGUAUUUUCCAACCGCAUAUACCAAGUGAGGGCAACGUCACUCAAAUUGUCUUGAAAGAAGUGAAUUAACAGUUUCUCGUCAUAGACUACCUCAACCAUUUUGUUGCAGUAUGUCUUGAGAUGAGUUACAGGGCAUUGAGUUCCUGUAUAUUUGAUGAAUUCUGGCACUCUAAACUUCUUAGGAAUGACUACGUUAGGUACCAAACACAUCUCAACAGCUUUUAUAUGGUCAUGUAGGCUAGUUCCCUCGAAUGCCCUCAGUCUUUGUUCCAAGGCAGCCCUUUUAUCCAGGCCAUCUUCUUUUACCACCUUGUUCUUUUGAGAUUCCUUUAUUGUAAGGUCAAUGGUAGAUGACAUUCCUAUGGGAUAUGCUGGUUGAGCAAAUUGGGAAUACAUAGACUGUUGAGACACCUCAUUUGCCCCCAGAUUCUGUGGAUUUACGAGCAUAGGUUCAGGCUGAGCUGUAGAUUUUGCUUCUUCAUGUUUAGAUCUCAAGGCUUGUUCGAGUAAGCUAGUAAGCCUGGCAACUUUCCAUCUCUUUUCGGUGUGGGGCUUCCAACUGGGCUCUUUCUUGUAAAAAAUUCCACACAAGGCUGUGAUUAAGAGAUUAACAAGAUGAUAGAUAUUUUUUUAGUAAAAUGAAUUCCAAUUCAAAAUAGCAAAAUAAGGUUUGUUGAGGCUUUUCUAGUAUAUAAAAAAAUCAAAUUAUACAAGAUUUAUUAUUAAUCUUCGAUAUUUAUUAUUGAUCAUCAAUAAUCAAUAUUAAAUGAUGACUUAUUUUCUAGUAUAAACUAUGUUUGAAAUAAAAUUGAUAAAACACAUUAUAUAUAAUUAAUGAUGGGAUCGUAUAUAAAAAUAAUUAAAUUGAGAUUUUUCAAUUACCUUUAAAUAUAUCAUAGUUUUAAUCGGUGGUGGACGAUAUAACAUAUGUAAAUUAUAAAACAAGCAUUUAUUUUUCUGAUAUAUACAUAAUAAUAACAAAUUAAAUGAUAGUAACAAGAAAAUAGCAAUUAGUUUGAAUAAAUGGUACCAGUUCCUAUCAUUAUAUAUUUAGGAAAAGGUUCAAAGAAUAGAAUAAAGUCAAAUAUAUAUUUUUAAUAAAAAAGAAAAAAAAACACAGAAAGAAAUAAAAAUAUGUUUGUAAUAAAUAUAAAAGAUGGAUAAAAAUAUUAGAGAAUAAGAAAGAGAUAUAGAAUCUCUUUGUGAAAUUUCUAAAAACUUAAUUACAAUUAUAUUAUAAUUUCUUCCCUAAAAUUAUUCAAAAUAUAGUAUUAGAAUUAUAUAAUGCUAGGUUUUAAUAGUUAAUUAAAGAAUCUUUCCUGAAUCAAAUAAUAAAAAUAUUGUAUAACGAUCUUUUGGAUGAAUUGUUAAUGUAGCUCUUUGACUGUUUGGGGUCCUGACAUAGCUGAUUUUAUUUGAAUAUAUUAUUUGAUAUCUCAUUGCUGCAUUGACUGGAAAUUUCAGUAUUCCAUAUCCUAUAUAUUUAACUCGUUAUAUUUAGUAGCUAACUCUGCAGCUAACUUCUCUGUCCCAUUGCAGCAAUUUCAUAGCUAACUCUUUGUUAUAUUUAACUUACUCUUCUUUGCUUCUUUGCUUCUUGCUCAUAACGAUAACUUGAAAGCCUUACGUUCAGAUAGAUAAUCAUUGACCAGUUCAUUGACCAGUUCUUUGUUAAUUUAGAAAUGCUGAAACAAAAACGCAAGCAAUCCAAAGAUGAAGACAACGAUUCAUCCUCGCGAAAGAGAAGAAAAGCUGACCUCAGUAAGCCUGUCAGUUUUGUCUCCACAGGUAAGGCAUAUGCGUGAGUCUAUACAUGUAGGAACUGCUGAUUCGAUUUGAAUAUGUUAUUUGAUUAGUCUGAUCAUAGGAUAGGUUGAGUCUACUACUAUUUCUGCCUUGCUUUGACUCGAAAUUCCUGGUGUUUUCACCUGCAAAUGAAUAGAAAUCACAUCCUUUCUCUUUCUCCUAUACAAAGAAUACAGUUAACCUCAUUUCAAUAUCAUAGAUUUGGAAUUUCAUAGCUAACUCUUUGUUAUAUUGCUCCAUUGGUAAUUGAUUGUGCCUUAAUUUCUGCAGCUACCAUGACAGAGCCAGGGUCUUCUCGAUCUAGUCCAGAAGGGGCCUAUGAUGUCUUCUUGAGUUUUAGAGGAGAAGACACUCGCAAGACAUUUACAGAUCAUCUAUAUGCUGCCUUAGAUCAAGCAGGAAUCCGCGCUUUUCGAGAUGAUGAUGAACUUCCGAGAGGAGAAGAAAUCUCCGAUCAUCUCCUCAGGGCAAUUCAAGAAUCAAAGAUAUCCAUAGUUGUCUUCUCAAAAGGAUAUGCUUCUUCUAGAUGGUGUCUCAAUGAACUUGUAGAGAUUCUUGAGUGCAAAAAGAGGAAAACCGGUCAGAUUGUUCUUCCUAUAUUCUAUGACAUUGAUCCUUCAGAUGUGAGAAAACAGAACGGCAGUUUUGCAGAAGCAUUUGUUAAACAUGAAGAGCGUUUUGAAGAGAAGUUGGUGAAGGAGUGGAGAAAAGCUCUUGAGGAGGCUGGAAAUCUAUCUGGAUGGAAUCUCAAUGAUAUGGCAAAUGGGUAUGCCUUUUUUCCAAAUUUAUGGAGUCAAUAUACUUUAUAUUUUUCAAUGUGAAACAAUAAAAUACUUAAUUGACUGGCUAUCAAUGACUGGCUUUUGUCUAUGAGCAGGCAUGAAGCAAAAUUUAUCAAAGAGAUUAUCAAGGAUGUGUUGAAUAAAUUAGAUCCCAAGUACUUAGAUGUUCCUGAGCUCCUAGUAGGUAUGGAUCGGCUUUCUCGCAAUAUUUUUGACUUUCUAAGUACUGCAACACAUGAUGUACGCAUUGUGGGCAUACAUGGGAUGCCAGGAAUAGGAAAGACAACUAUAGCAAAAGUUGUAUUUAAUCAACUCCGCUAUAGAUUCGAGGGAAGCUGCUUUUUUUCGAAUAUCAAUGAAACAUCAAAACAAUUCAAUGGUCUGGCUCUUUUACAAGAGCAACUUCUUCAUGAUAUUUUAAAACAAGAUGUUGCUAACAUCAAUUGUGUCGAUAGAGGAAAGGUUCUGAUCAAAGAACGACUUCGUCGCAAAAGAGUUCUUGUUGUUGCUGAUGAUGUGACUCGUCAGGACCAGCUAAAUGCUUUGAUGGGAGAGCGAGGUUGGUUUGGUCCCGGAAGUAGAGUAAUUAUUACAACAAGAGAUUCAAGUUUUCUACAUAAAGCGGAUCAAACAUAUCAAAUCGAAGAAUUGAAACCAGAUGAGUCCUUUCAACUUUUCAGCUGGCAUGCCUUGCGGGACACCAAGCCAGCAGAAGAUUAUAUUGAGCUUUCGAAGGAUGUAGUUGAUUACUGUGGAGGAAUUCCUUUGGCUCUUGAGGUUAUGGGUGCUUGUCUGUCCGGGAAAAACAGAGAUGGUUGGAAAUCUGUAAUUGACAAAUUGAGAAGAAUUCCAAACCGCGAUAUCCAAGGAAAGCUUAGAAUAAGUUUUGACGCACUGGACGGUGAAGAACUACAAAAUGCAUUCCUUGACAUCGCUUGCUUCUUUAUUGAUAGAAAGAAAGAGUACGUCGCAAAAGUGCUAGGAGCCCGUUGCGGUUACAAUCCAGAAGUUGAUUUGCAAACUCUCCAUGAGAGGUCUCUGAUUAAAGUAUUGGGAGAGACGGUAACCAUGCAUGAUCUAUUACGAGACAUGGGAAGGGAGGUCGUUCGUGAAAAGUCUCCAAAACAACCUGGAGAGAGGACCAGAAUUUGGAAUCAAGAGGAUGCAUGGAAUGUACUUGAGCAGCAGAAGGUAAGAGCUCAAUGCAUACAUGAAAGCAUAGUCAUGCGUAUUUUCUAGUCAAACUUAUUACAAGUAAUUGUAUGAAAGUUGUAUUGAUUUAUUUUUUAGGGUACGGAUGUCGUAGAGGGUCUUGCACUGGAUGUCAGAGCAUCAGAAGCUAAAUCACUUAGCGCAGGAUCAUUUGCAGAAAUGAAAUGCUUAAAUUUACUCCAAAUCAAUGGAGUUCAUCUCACCGGAUCCUUCAAACUGCUUUCUAAAGAGUUGAUGUGGAUUUGUUGGCUUCAAUGUCCUUUGAAAUAUUUUCCAUCUGAUUUUACCUUGGAUAAUUUAGCUGUUCUUGAUAUGCAGUACAGUAACCUCAAAGAACUAUGGAAGGGAAAAAAGGUGAGAAACAUGCUGCAAUCCCCAAAAUUUCUCUAUUAUGUAAUUUAUAUUUACAUGUUACAACUUCUUAAGAUUAAUUUUCAUUAUUUUGCGCUCUAUUAUACAGAUUCUCAACAGGCUAAAAAUCCUUAAUCUCAGUCAUUCUCAGCACCUUAUUAAAACACCAAACUUACACAGUUCAAGUCUAGAGAAAUUAAUUCUGAAAGGUUGCUCGAGUUUAGUUGAGGUGCAUCAAUCAAUUGAAAAUUUGACGAGCCUUGUUUUCUUGAAUCUCAAGGGAUGUUGGAGGCUGAAGAAUCUCCCUGAAAGAAUUGGCAAUGUAAAGUCUCUUAAAACUCUGAAUAUUUCUGGGUGUUCACAACUUGAGAAAUUGCCAGAACGCAUGGGUGAUAUGGAAUCCUUAACUAAGCUGCUAGCUGAUGGGAUUGAAAAUGAGCAAUUUCUCUCUUCAAUUGGACAAUUAAAGCAUUGCAGAAGGUUAUCAUUGCAUGGAGACAGUUCGACGCCACCAAGUUCUUCUUUGAUUUCAACAGGUGUUUUGAAUUGGAAACGUUGGCUGCCAGCAUCUUUCAUUGAAUGGAUAUCAGUGAAACAUCUUGAGCUUUCUAAUAGUGGUUUGUCUGAUCGCGCAACUAACUGUGUUGAUUUCAGUGGUUUGUCUGCUCUAGAAAAAUUGGAUCUAACAGGAAACAAAUUCUCUAGGCUGCCUUCUGGGAUCGGCUUCCUUCCCAAGCUAACGUAUUUGUCUGUUGAGGGAUGCAAAUAUCUUGUAUCAAUCCCAGAUCUUCCCUCAAGUUUAGGGCAUUUGUUUGCAUGUGAUUGCAAAUCAUUGAAAAGAGUAAGAAUACCAAGCGAGCCAAAAAAAGGACUAUUUAUAAAGCUAGAUGACAGUCAUUCGUUAGAAGAGUUUCAGGGCAUUGAAGAUCUAAGUAAUUGUUUCUGGUAUAUUCGUGUUGAUGACCGCAGUCAUUCACCAAGUAAAUUACUAAAGAGCGUUGUUGAGGUACUAUUUCUUUCCGUCUCUCUUUCGCACAAAAAGAAACACACACAAUUGGCACAUACAUUGAUUAAUGUCUAAAAUCUCAGCAUUCCUUGAAAUCAAUAUGUAUAUAGGCAAUAAUUAUUAUUAUUAUUAUUAUAUUUUAAAAAACAAAUAUCAUGUUUUAUAAUAUUUUUUAUUUUUCUUAUUUAAUCUAAAAAAUUAAAUAUUAUCUUUAAUAAUAUUUUUUAUUAAAUAUUUAAAGUCUGAUUGGUUUUAUUUUUUAUUUCUUGAUUUUAUGAUAAUAUAUUUAUACAGUUAAUGUGCAACGGUCGUCACGGGUAUUUUAUUCGCCACACUCCUAGUGAGAUGCCAAACUGGAUGAGCUACAGGGGAGAAGGAUGCUCAUUGUCAUUCCAUAUACCUCCAGUCUUUCAAGGCUUAGUUGUUUGGUUUGAUAAGGAUGAUCAUUAUUACUUCCACACUGACAUUAUUAUUAUUAUAAGAAAUAAAAGCAACGGUAUUCAAUUGUUUGAAGAAGAACGAACAGUACCAGAAAAUGAAAACAAUACCUCCAAAUUAGUAGAACGAACAGUAUCAGAACGAACAGUACCUCCAAAUUAGUAGGGUACAUCUCUUUUUGCCGAGUUGAUAUGAAUUCGUUAGCUUGAUGAAAACAACCGAAAGUUCUGAAAGCAUCCUUAAUUAGUAUAAUUAGUAAAGUCUUGUUAGUUUUGGCUAUAAGUUUUUGUUAUGUAUUAUUGCAUGGUUUUUAUUAUUUGUUGGCCCUUGUUUUUUUUAUAUACAACUUUUAUUUUUAUUGUCGGUUUGUCAUUAGCUUUAUGGCACUAACACUUAUUAAUAAUAAAUCUUGGACUAUUAUUAAAUAAAGGAAAAAUAAAAACAUUGUUAAAAUACCAAACUUGCAUAUUUCAAACUUAGAGAAAGCCGAUGAUAAUAAUCCAAUUUAGAAAAUAAUUAAUUUGUCCUUGUAGUAUUAGAAAAUAGUAUUUAAUCCUUAUGUUUUCAUAUUCAUCUAUGAUUUAAUCUCUUACAUCCAUUUCAUUUUCUUAUUAUUUUAAUCCAAAAAAAACUAAAAAUCACAUAUCAUGAAUACCAAUUAGAACGGAAGUGAAGACCAAUUAGAAGACUAUAAUCCAUAAUUCUCUCUGCUUCUAAGAAUUCACAGUCCCUAUAAAUUUGACUGAGAAAGAAAGAACUGAAGACAAACACAUGUUAACCUCUCAAGAUUAGUGCCUCACAAAAGAACAAGAUAAAGGAAACACCGCAAUUUUUCAUGAUAAAAUCCAAAGGAUUGGUACUUUGGUGUUUGUGGCGCUGGUAUAUGAAAGAACAGAGAUCAAGAGAUGAAAUCCCUCUAUACCGCUGUUAUUCCUUUCAAGGUGCGUAUCAGGUGUUUGAAAAACUUCCUCAACUUAAAGUAGAAAGGUCUUGUUUACAACGUUUUUUAGUCCUUUUCAAGUCUUCCAAUGUGUUGCAUUUACUGAAUAUGAUAGUGGGAAUUUAGUUAUCACCUACUAUCUUCUAAGACGCAUCUCUGUCUCCUCUUCUUCUUUAUAAAAUUAUUCCCUUCUAGUUCUCUAAUGUACUUGAUGUCCCGGAAGUGUGGCUUCUUCAUAUGAAGAAUACGUUAAGAUUCAAUUAUGAUUUUAGAUUCCAUUGCCUACAAAUUUGAACCAUGAUAAUGUAGCAUACGGACCAGUCAUGCCUAUCUACAUUAAUUAGAAUAGGCCUCCACCCUCUUAGGUUUUUAUUGAGAUUAGGGAUUCUAUUGUAGCUCUUUUUUCUCCUUUUAUUAUAACAAAAUAAUAUGUAUGGAUUAAUUUUCGUAUACAGAAACUAAGUCCUUUAAUCAAAUUUUAGAUUGACCAUCCUCUAUUUUUUAACUGUUUGAUACUUGUUUAAAAAAAAUACUAGUAAUGAGGGCAUGAAAUUAAGAAGGUGUGUGGGAAUGUGGUUGUGGUUGUUUUUGAAAAUAUAUUUUACUUAAAAAUAUAUCAAAAUAUUAUUUUUUUUAUUUUUAAAAAUUAUUUUUAAUAUUAACAUAUUAAAAAUAAAACGGUUAAAGAUAAAGUCCCAAAACAUAUUCUGCCCUUCUCCCCAAUGAACGUGGGCAGGCUUGACAUUUACUCGUUUACAAAACUGAGCCCAGUGGCAAAGAGGCCUGCUUAUUAUGCCUUUAGCUGAGACUGCUGUAGAAAUAAGUAGGCCUGAUCAAUUGGACUAAAUUUUUGUUUUGCUGUAGAAACACGUUUUUCCUUUGUGAGAAAAAGCAAGUUCAAAAAAACAGAAGAAGCAGAAUUUGAAAAAAAGAAGAGAAAAAAGAAAGAUGCUUUAGUUUUUAAUCCAUAAUGUCCAAAGUGACUGGGUAGAUAAGAUCCAGCCCAUUUGGGUCCAUCAAAGUCAUUUGUGGUAGCUUAUGACUAAUGUGCCCAAAGGAUGGCGGUUCAGUAACGGUCCAAGUAAAGAAACUAAUCUGGAAAAGGAAAUCAUGCCCAUCAGAAUUCAGAAGAUCAUUCUGCGUCCAUUUCACAUUAGCAAAAUGAAUCAAAACACCCAUUAGAAUUUUGAAGUCAUGUAUCUUCGAUGAAUUGCAAGCCAUAUCCAAAAGUUUCAUCAUCCAUAUGCCAAGCAGCAUGCAUGCAUGCAAAAUAUGGUGAGACAGAGUCAUCAGAUAAAAAAGAAAAAUAGUAGUGGAAUAAUUCUUUUAAUAUUUAAAAAUUAAAAAAUACUGUGUAACUGUUUUGUAUAAAUUGUAAAGUCAAGGACUCUUUUGUGCUUGGUAAAAUACCUCACACUAAAAUUAAUAAAUAAUAACACGAGAAGGACCAAAGUUAAUAAAUAAUAGCAUGCACGAAACUUUACAAUACAGUAAAAAAAUUGUUACAGUAAAAGCACAGAGAGAAGAACGGUUCCAUAAAAAGAUGUGGUAAGUCUAAUGUUGGGAGACUGCUCUUCCAAGGAUCCUACGGUUGCGAGCCAUGUGAAUGCAAAAGGAGCCAGUUGUUGCAACUCCAAAUUCCUUGCUUUUUUUCCUCUACGUACGUGUUACCUUUAACCUUUUAUAAUUAUGAUUGUUGCGUUGCUAAUUAUAAUUUGCAAGAAAGAUGAUGAACAUCUUUUAGUGAAUUAAGUUCAAUUCAAAAUAACAAAAUAAGGUUUGUUGAGGCUUAUCUUCGAACCUCAUUUUAGGAUUAAUAGACGAAAAUCAAAAAGUCCUGUGCAAAUUAUACAAAAUUUAUUAUUAAUAAUCAAUAUUUAUGAUUGAUCAUCAACAUUAAAUAAUGGCUUAUUUUCUAGUAUAAACUAUGUUUGAAAUAAAAUUGAUAACAGACACACAAUUAAUGAUGGUAUUGUAUAUUUUGAGACGAAAUUAAGGUUUUUCAAUUAAUGCUAAAACAUAUCAUGGUUUUAAUAGUUGGAUGGUACAUUAUGUAAAAUAUAAAAAAAUAUUUAUUUUUUUGAUAUACAUAGUAAUAAUAAAUUAGAUGAUAAUAACAAAAAAAUAGAAAUUAGUUUGAAUAAAUAGUACCGGUUCAUAUUAUGAUAUAUCUAGAGAAGAAGUUGGAAGAAUAGAAUGAAAUCAAAUAUUAAUAUAAAAAAAAAUAUUGAAGUAAUGAGUACAUGAAGCAAGAUAAUUAGUGGUUGAAUAUAGAUUAUAACUAAUUAUUUGUUCUGAUGAAGAUUACCAAUUAAAUACAAACAAAAAAAAUGUUUCUAAAAUAAAAGGAUAUGAAUUAACUAUAGAAACUAAAGAGUGGAUCGGUUAUCUUUAACGUUUGCAAAUAAUUAAAAGAGAUAUAAAUUUUGUGAUGGGUUAUGAUUAACGCAGAAGCAAAUAAAAGAGGAACAGAAAUUAUAAGCAAAUAUUGUUUCCUGGGCGGAAGUGUUUGGCACUGUCGAUAAAAGUUUUUUGAAAAAAAUUAAUUUUAUUUUUAUUUUUUUAUUUUAAAUUAAUAUAUAUUUUAUGUUUUCAGAAUAUUUUGAUGUAUUAAUAUCAAAAAUAAUUAUUCAAAAAUAAAAAAAAAUCUAACCAUUAGAGCUUCUCUCUCAAUCGUCUUUCUUUUUUUUAAUAACUAGAUUAUUAAAAUUACAAGAAUUAAGUUAAUAUUUCAAAAAAUUUCAAAAAAAUAUUUUGUUUUCUUUUAGUAUCUGGGAUUAUGAAUUUAUACGUAAAAUGUAUUCUUGAUAUUAAAAAAAAAGAUAAGGAUCUUCUUACUGAGGAAGACUUAUCUUGAACCUUAGACAUACUAAUUAGAAAACAUGACAAUACCUUAAUUUUUCUCAGACAAUUAAACAAUGCAAUUGUGUAUUUGGGGUGCUAAUAUAUUUUUUUUUACACAAUCAGUUUUCAUGCUCGAUCUCUAAGAUUAAUUAGGGUUUCUAGUAACUAAAAUACUAAGUAAAUAUUUUCUAGUAAAUUAAUUUCAAUUCAAAAUAACAAAAUAAGGUUUGUUGAGGCUUAUCGUGAAACCUUGUUUUGGAUGAAUUGAUCACGAGAAUGAGAAAUCAUGUGUAAAUUAUACAAAAUAUAUUAUUAAUCAUCAAUAUUUAUUAUUGAUUAUCAAUAUUGAAUAAUGGUUUUUUAUAAUAUAAAUUAUGUUUAAAAUAAAAUUGAUAAAAUUAAAAUUCAUGAAACACAAUUAAUGAUGGGAUCUACAUCUUUUGAAUUUAUUAGAAUGAACGUGUAAUUAAAGGACGAACCACAUACCAUUACAUGCGUUUUCAAUUGGAUUUUUUAUUUAAAUGAAAAAAAAUCUGUUUUAUAUGAAAAAAAUAUUUAUUUUUUUGAUAUACCUAAUAAUAAUAAAUUAGAGAAUAGUAACAAGAAAAUAGGAAUUAGAUAGACUAAACGGUACCAAUACUAUAUUCUUAAUAAAAAAAAUAUUUUUAAUAAAUAUAAAAGAUGGAUGAAAAUUGUUGCUACUCGAUUUUUUACCUAUAUUUUAAAUAAUUUUUCAGAAAAAAAUCAAAAUAGUAAAAACACAACGAAAAUCUCAAAAAAUGUAUUUUUGAUAUAUUUGUAUUGUUUUUAGCAUUUUUAAUAUUAUCUCAAAAAAAUUUUAAUUUUCAAAAGUAUUUUAAACGCGUUUAAUUUUUAAUGCGUAAAAUUUACAAUUACUGAUUUGCCUUAUUAAGUUGAUAUUGAUAUGAUUUGUUUUUAAAAAAAUUCAAAAUAUAACAAAUAAAAAAAUAUCAAAAUUUAUAUAUAUAAAAAAAAAUGAGGAACCAGUUUGGAAAUCUAAUAAGAUUUUGGCUAUAAAUACAGUGAAAAAUGUCAACAUCCGGGGGGAAUUGAGAGGAAUAGUGGCGUAGAAAAUUUUGGGGGGAAACAAAAGUAAAGAACCCUAGACCUCUUCCUUUUGGCAGUGUGGUAGUGGUUGCUUUUCAAAUAAUUUUUCGUGCCGAAAUACAUGCCAAUGAUAUUUUUUUAUUUUUUAAAAAUCAUUUUUGACAUCAGCACAUCAAAACGAUCCAAAAAAUACAAACCACACUCAAUUUUAACAAAAAAAAAAACAAAUUUGAAAUUUGGUGAAAAGCAGGUUGAACAGCAGAGCCAAACAUGCUAGACAGGAGCCGCCGCCUCCCUCUCAAAAAAUCCAGAGAAACCCUCCCUCUCUAAAAAAAAACAGGAGAAACCCUACUUUGGGGUUUUGAACUUUCGGCUUCUUCUCCCUGCAGCCGGACAAGGCUGCCCCCUCGCUUUGCCAAAAACGAGGAGAACCCCACAAAACACACAGACCCCCCCCCCCCAAAAAAAAAAAAAAAACCAUCCCCAGAGAAACCAACCCCCAGCCGGCGACCCCCAGCCUUAACAACAAAGAAAGACACGGCUGGUCCCCCCUCUCCACUGAUCUUCUCCCUCACCAACCUUCCCCUCUCUCGGCCGCUCACUUCCCCUCCGUCAAAAACAGAGACCGGCCGCCCCCCCCCUCUCCUUUGAGGCCAGGAACCAGAGAAACCAGAGAGCUCCGGACAGGCCUCCCUCUCCCUCGACCACAACCUCCAUCCUCCCUCUCUGUAAUCCAGCCCCCACAAACCCACAAGACAGCCCCGGCUCCCUUCCUCAUCGCCGUUUUCUCCAACUCUGACCGACCCCUCUCUCAGCCACCGAGAACGCCGCCUAGCAGCCCGCAGGCCCUCGUCCUCACCAAGACCCGAACCGGCCACCGGCAGCUGUACAGACACGACAGAAGCUCCGCCGCCGGCCGCCCCUUGCACAUACCGUCGGCCACCUGAAACAGAAGGUGAAAAAAAAAGAAAAAAACAGAUCUGCAGAAGAAACAGAUCUGAAACAAGGGAAGACCGAAACAGAUCUAAAGAAGAAGAAUAAAAAUCAACUGCUUUGUUGCGUUUUUGGUUGUUCUUGCAGGUCACUGCCGAGGAAAGGAAGAGGAGGAGAAGUUAAGCCAGAUCCACAUGUUCACAGUUUCUGCUUGCGGUGACGCGUGAACCCACACGCCGCCAGUGGCAUGGUGCGUGGAGAAGACGCUCCGCCACUGUUCCCAUCCCCAGAACCCUUUCAGCACUGUUCCCGAGGUUUUUUUUUAUUUAAUUUUCAGAUGUUGAUAUGUGUUUUUAGAUUAUUUUUAUUUGAUUUAUUUUGAAUUCUUGGUAUUUUGUAAUAUGGAAAUGUGGGUGCACGAGAAAAACAUAAUAAAAAGGAAUUUAUGUGUUUGUAUUUUUUUUAUGUAAGUUAUUGAAUUAUAAAAUCAGAAAGAUAAAAAAAAAUAAAUUUAAUGUUUUAAUUUGUAUAUGGUCAAGUAUAUGAUGAUAAUUAAAAUUAUGUUGUAUUUUUCAUAUUUUUCAUAAAAAUAUAAGAACAUGUUUCUAUAUAUUUUCUGGUGGAAGCUUUAAAAUUUGAUUAAUAUUUUAUUUUUUAAAAUUGUAUCUUCAAAUUAAAUUAUGAAGCAACUUAUCUCAGGUAAGAUGUGUUAGAGGUGUUAAUAUUUUUUCAAUUAUAAUCAAUUUUUUAUCCUUGAAUCUUUGACAAGACUAACAUAUCCAGGUUUUUUAGUAGGUGAUGACUUUCAAGAACAAGCAAACGAAGAAAAUCACUAAUUGACGCCGUGCAGGGAACGUGCGACAAAAAUAUUAGAGAAUAAAAUUGAGAUAUAGAAUCUCUUUUUUAUAUUUCUAAAAACUUAAUUUCUGUUGUAACCUAUUUUUGAGUCCCACACUAAAAUGGAGAAUAAACAAAUUUGGAAGAAAUCUAAAAAAAUAAUAGCAAUGAGAAGAGGAUGCCGAAACACCUAGAAAAUAGCUAGAAAUUGGUUGAGGAGGUUCAAAAAUACAAAAAUUAAAAUUUGACAGUAUAUAUUUGACUGAUGAGAGCUCUAUUGAAAAAGAAAAUUUAAUUUGAGAAAAAAAAGUUUAAAAUCAGAUGUUUAUGGAUUUAAUUAAUUUUAUUGAAGGAUUUAUAAAGAGUUUGAUUGCAAGAAAAAUUGAUUUUUAAGUCAAUUUAGACUUUAAUUGAAAGAAAUUAAAGUUCUGAGGUCAAAUUACAAUUUUUAAGAGUUAAUUUGGUCAAAUUAGGAGUUUAAUUACAUAAAUAUUAAAGUUUGAUGGCUAAUUAGGGACUUGUUUAAAUAAAUCCAAAACUAAUGACCAAAAGUUCUAUAACUCUAGAUAUAGUUAACAAUCUGAUGAGUGUUCAGACAGUAACAGUUCAAUGUCGAGACAGUAACAGUUGGACAAUAACAGUUAGACAGUAACAGUUCAAUGUUUAGACAGUAACAGUUGGACAGUAACAGUUCAAUAUCUAGACAGUAACGGUUGGACAGUAACAGUUCAAUGUCUAGACAGUAACAGUUCAAAUUAGACAGUAACAAUUAGACUUUCACGUGAAUACUAUAUGUAAGAAUAUAAAAGAACUGAGUCAUGCGAACACUUGCACGUUGAGACACUUAUGCAAUUUAAAGUUCUUCUGGUGAAUGCAAUUACAAUAAAUACCAUGUUCAAUGUAAAUAAAGUCCAGCGUAUUUACAAGAUUAGCUACAGCUAAUGGCAUCCGUGAUAGGAUUGCCGGGAAAUGAAUUACAAGAGUAGCUUGGGCUAAUAAUGUCCAUGUUGGGACGCCCGAGAACGAUUGAUAAGACUUGAUUUGUAAAGGGUAUCAAUGUUUGAAUGACUUGGGAAAUUGAUAAAUAUAAGUUGACUGUUAUAAUUCUUAUGGAUCCGAUAGAAAAUUUAUACUUCAUUCGUAUACCUUACAUGUGCACAUAUAUAUUUCUUUUGCAAACAUAAUGGUAUGUUUAUUUAUGUAACAAGGCCAUCAAAUAUCCAAGGAGAUCAUUAGUUUAGGGCUCUAUUUUGUCAAUCUUAUGUAAAUAUUUAACUUAAGCAUAAUGGAAUUAACGUGUUUAUGCAGUAUGCUUUUGUGUAAACCUUGAUGUAUUUAUAAAAGUCCAGCUUAACAUGUAGUACAUUAGUUAUCUUGUAAUUAACCCUCUUGAAAUGUUUAAGAAUACUUAAUAAAUUGUAAAUGCUCUCUUUGCAUGUUAUUCCCUUUUCUUUUAAAUUUUAUGACAUGAUAUAUAGGCUAUGUUCAUAUUGAACUUACUAGUAGGAUAUAUAUAUAUAUAUAUAUAUAUAUAUAUAUAUAUAUAUAUAUAUAUAUAUAUAUAUAUAUAUAUAUAUAUAUAUUGUGUGGAUUGUAUGAGUUGUUGAAUAUUGAUAAUUGAAAUAAGGUCUGGAAUUAUGGGACCUUGUGAUGAUGGGUUGAUUGAGUAAAUUGGUAGUAGUCGAUAAUUUGGAAUGUCCUAAAUACAAACGAAACUUUGCCGAAUUUUUGGUAGAUUUAAAAAAAAAAAAUUACCCUCAAAUUAAGAACAUAUGUUGGGAUCUUUUAACGUUGAUCAAGUCGUACAGUCGGGUCUGUUACAUAUACCGUAAAGAUACAAAUCCAGUAUUAAAAUACGUGGUUUUCACCAAAAUAUUGCAAAAGUUAAAUAAAAGAAAUAUAUUAUUUUCAUGCAUAUGGCCAACUCUUUAAAAAAAAAUUAUCAUAUCGUAUUUUCAUACCAUAAAAAAAAUCUCAAAAAUAUUUGUUAGCAUGCAUUUUGGCUUUAAUAACUAGUUUGUUAAAGUCAUGAGAACUAUGCUAACAUUUUAAAAAUUUCAAAAAAAUUAUCUUGUUUUAUUUUAAUAUCCGGGAUUAUGAACUUAAUCGUAAGUCGUACUCCUAAUAUUAAAAUUAGUUUCUUUGGUUGAUAUAGAACGGUUAGGUUUUACCCAAUUAGAUAAUAAUCUCUUUAUCGAGGAAAAUUUUUCUUAAACCAUAGACAGACCAACAACUAGAAAACACAAUGAUACCUUAGCCUAUAUCAGACAAUAAAACAAUGCAGCUUACCUUAGGUAGGGCGUAUUUUGGGUGCUAAUACUUUUUUUUUACGCAAUCAGUCUCCGUACCCGAUCUUUGAGACCAAUUAGGGUUUCAGUUACCAAAAUACUAGGUGGUGACUCUCAUUUUUCCAUUCCACUGAUAAAAGACAAGAUUUUCUUGCCUCCCUAUAUUUGCCAGAUAGACAUACAUGAGAGUGGAUGUUAUUCACCGUGACACCGCACACGUGUCACAAUUACAAUUCCAUUAUAAUUUGUUCCUUAAAAGUAUUCAAAAUAUAGUAUUAGAAUUACGUAAUGCUAGGUUUUAAUAUAUAAUUUUUUAUAUUGUUAAAGAGUCUCUCCUGGACCAAAUAAUAAAAAUAUUGUAUAACUCUUAUGUAUGAAUCGUAAAUCCAGGGAUUGUUUUGGAUCCUGAAUUGGCUGAUUUGAUUUGAAUAUAUUAUAUGAUUAGUCCAUUUAUAGGUUAACUCUACUAUUGCUGCCUUGCAUUGACUUUACUCUGCAGCUAACUUCUCUGUCCCAUUGCUGCCAUUUCAUAGCUAACUCUUUGUUAUAUUUAACUUUCUCUUCUUUGCUUCUUUCUCGUUUUAAUUUCAUUUCUUGCUCAUAACGAUAACUUGAAAGCCUCACGUUCAGAUAGAUAAUCAUUGACCAGUUCAUCCUAUAUCAUUCUAUUUAAUUUAGAAAUGCAGAAAGAAAAACGCAAGCAAUCCAAAGAUGAAGAAAACGAUUCAUCCUCGCGAAAGAGAAGAAAAGCUGACCUCAGUAAGCCUGUCAGUUUUGUCUCCACAGGUAAGGCAGAUGCGUGAGUCUAUACAUGUAGGAACUGCUGAUUCGAUUUGAAUAUGUUAUUUGAUUAGUCUGAUCAUAGGACAGGUUGAGUCUACUACUAUUUCUGCCUUGCUUUGACUCGAAAUUCCUGGUGUUUUCUCCUGCAAAUGAAUAGAAAUCACAUCCUUUCUCUUUCUCCUAUACAAAGAAUACAAUUAACCUCAUUUCAAUAUCAUAGCUUUGGAAUUUCAUAGCUAACUCUUUGUUAUGUUGUUCCAUUGGUAAUUGAUUGUGCCUUAAUUUCUGCAGCUACCAUGACAGAGCCAGAGUCUUCUCGAUCUAGACCAGAAGGGGCCUAUGAUGUCUUCUUGAGUUUUAGAGGAGAAGACACUCGCAAGACAUUUACAGAUCAUCUAUAUAGUGCCUUAGUCCAAGCAGGAAUCCACGCUUUUCGAGAUGAUGAUGACCUUCCAAGAGGAGAAGAAAUCUCCGAUCAUCUCCUCAGGGCAAUUCAAGAAUCAAAGAUAUCCAUAGUUGUCUUCUCAAAAGGAUAUGCUUCUUCUAGAUGGUGUCUCAAUGAACUUGUAGAGAUUCUUGAGUGCAAAAAUAGAAAAACCGGUCAGAUUGUUCUUCCUAUAUUCUAUCACAUUGAUCCUUCAGAUGUGAGAAAACAGAAUGGCAGUUUUGCAGAAGCAUUUGCUAACAAUGAAGAGCGUUUUGAAGAGAAGUUGGUGAAGGAGUGGAGAAAAGCUCUUGAGGAGGCUGGAAAUCUAUCUGGAUGGAAUCUCAAUCAUAUGGCAAAUGGGUAUGCCUUUUUUUCUCUAAGAUUCUCUUGCACACAUUUAUGGAGUCAUUAUACUUUACAUUUUUCAAUGUGAAACAAUAAAAUACUUAAUUGACUCGCUAUUAAUGACUUGCUUUUGUCUAUGAGCAGGCAUGAAGCAAAAUUUAUCAAAGAGAUUAUCAAGGAUGUGUUGAAUAAAUUAGAUCCCAAGUACUUCUAUGUUCCUGAGCACCUAGUAGGUAUGGAUCGGCUUGCUCACAAUAUUUUUGACUUUCUAAGUACUGCAACAGAUCAUGUACGCAUUGUGGGCAUACACGGGAUGCCAGGAAUAGGAAAGACGACUAUAGCAAAAGUUGUAUUUAAUCAACUCUGCUAUGGAUUCGAGGGAAGCUGUUUUCUUUCGAAUAUCAAUGAAACAUCAAAACAAUUUAAUGGUCUGGCUCUUUUACAAAGGCAACUUCUUCAUGAUAUUUUAAAACAGGAUGCUGCAAACAUCAAUUGUGAUGAUAGAGGAAAGGUUCUGAUCAAAGAACGACUUCGUCGCAAAAGAGUUGUUGUGGUUGCUGAUGAUGUUGCUCAUCAGGACCAGCUAAAAGCUUUGAUGGGAGAGCGAAGCUGGUUUGGUCCCGGAAGUAUAGUAAUUAUUACAACAAGAGAUUCAAAUCUUCUUCGUGAAGCAGAUCAAACAUAUCCGAUCAAAGAAUUGACACGAGAUCAGUCCCUUCGGCUUUUCAGCUGGCAUGCCUUUAAGGACACCAAGCCAGCAGAAGCUUAUAUUGAGCUUUCGAAGGAUGCAGUUGAUUACUGUGGAGGACUUCCUUUAGCUCUUGAGGUUAUAGGAGCUUGUCUGUACGGGAAAAGCAAAGAUAGAUGGAAAAGUGAAAUUGACAACUUGAGCAGAAUUCCAGAAAACAAUAUUCAAGGAAAGCUUCUAAUAAGUUUUGACGCACUGGAUGGUGAGCUACAAAAUGCAUUCCUUGAUAUUGCAUGCUUCUUUACUGAUGUAGAGAAAGAAUACGUCGCAAAAGUGCUAGGAGCCCGUAGCUGUUACAAUCCAGAAGUUGUUUUGGAAACUCUCUGUGAAAGGUCUCUUAUUAAAGUAUUUGGAGAGAUGGUAACCAUGCAUGAUCUAUUACGAGAGAUGGGAAGGGAGGUCGUUCGUAAAGCGUCUCCCAAACAACCUGGAGAGAGGACCAGAAUUUGGAAUCAAGAGGAUGCGUGGAAUGUACUUGACCAGCAGAAGGUAAGAGCUCAAUGCAUACACGUAGCCAUGCGUAUUUUCUAGUCAAACUUAUUACAAAUAAUCAUAUGAAAGUUUUAUUGUUUUUUUUUUAGGGUACGGAUGCUAUAGAGGGUCUUGCACUGGAUAUGAGAGCAUCAGAAGCUAAAUCACUAAGCACAGGAUCAUUUGCAAAAAUGAAACGCUUAACUUUACUCCAAAUCAAUGGAGCACAUCUCACUGGAUCCUUCAAACUGCUUUCUAAAGAGUUGAUGUGGAUUUGUUGGCAUGAAUGUCCUUUAAAAUAUUUGCCAUCUGAUUUUACCUUAGAAAAUCUAGUUGUUCUUGAUAUACAGUACAGUAACCUCAAAGAACUAUGGAAGGGAGAAAAGGUAUGAAACAUUUUACAAUCCCCAACAUUUGUCCAGUACAUAAUUUAUAUUUACAUGUUAUGACUUUUUAUGAUUAAUUUCCAUUAUUUUGCUCUCUAUUACGACAGAUUCUCAACAAGCUAAAAAUCCUUGAUCUUAGUCAUUCUCAUAACCUUAUUAAAACACCAAACUUGCACAGUUCAAGUCUGGAGAAACUAAAGCUGGAAGGUUGCUCUAGUUUAGUUGAGGUGCAUCAAUCUGUUGGAAAUUUGAAGAGCCUCAUUUUCUUGAAUAUGGAGGGAUGUUGGAGCCUUAAGAUUCUUCCCGAAAGCAUUGGCAAUGUAAAGUCUCUUAAACGUUUGAAUAUUUCUGGGUGUUCACAACUUGAGAAAUUGCCAGAACACAUGGGUGAUAUGGAAUCCUUAACUGAGCUGCUAGCUGAUGGGAUUGAAAAUGAGCAAUUUCUCUCUUCAAUUGGACAAUUAAAAUAUGUCAGAAGGUUAUCAUUGCGUGGAUACAAUUUCCGUCAGGACUCACCAUCACCUACAUCCUGGGUUUCCCAAAUUUCAUCAUGGCUUUCACCGUCAUCUACAUAUUGGCCUCCAUCAAUUUCUUCUUUUAUUUCAGCAAGUGUUUUAUGUUUGAAACGUUCGUUGCCAACAUCUUUCAUCGAUUGGAGAUCAGUGAAACGUCUUAAGCUUCCUGAUGGUGGUUUGUCUGAUUGCUCAACUAACUGUGUUGAUUUUAGGGGUUUGUCCUCUCUAAAAGAAUUGGAUCUAUCAGGAAACAAAUUCUCUAGCCUGCCUUCUGGGAUCGGCUUCCUUCCCAAACUAAAGGUCUUGAUUGUUCAGGGAUGCAACAAUCUUGAAUCAAUAUCAGAUCUUCCCUCAAGUUUAUACACUUUGGGUGCAUCUUAUUGCAAAUCAUUGGAAAGAGUAAAAAUACCAAAGCAGUCAAAAAAAGAACUAUAUAUAGAACUACAUGAAAGUCAUUCGUUAGAAGAGAUUCAGAACAUCGAAGGUCAAAGUAAUAUUUUCUGGAAUAUGUAUGUUGAUGACCACAAUCAUUCAUCAAAUAACCUUAAGAAGAGCGUUGUCGAGGUACUAUUUUUUUCGGUCUCUCUUGCACAAGAAGAAACACACACAAUUGACACAUACAUUGAUUAAUGUCUAAAAUUUCAGCAUUCCUUGUAAUCAAUAUGUAUACAGGCAUUGUGCAACGGUGGUCACCGGUAUUAUAUUUACCCCUUUCCUGGUGAGAUGCCAAAUUGGUUGAGCUACAGCGGAGAAGGAUGCUCAUUGUCAUUCCAGAUACCUCCAGUCUUCCAAGGCUUAGUUGUUUGGGUUGCUCAUAAUUUCAAUUACUCAAUUGUUACUAUAAGAAAUAAAAGCAAUGGUAUUCAAUUGUUUGAAAAAAAACGAAUAGCAGGACCUGGGAGAUGGAUAAUUUACAUAAGUGAAAUGGCAAUGGAAGAUUACUGUGGAGAUGAUGAAUUGGAACUAUACAUAUAUUCAGAGCCCAACGGUGUUCCACUGCAACGCGUACACAUUAAAGAAUGUGGGGUCCAUGUGAUCGCAGGAAAAUCAGAUUCAUUUGAAGAGUUAGAAGUGAAAAGAGAUACAGUGAUGCCUUCACCACCACCAUAUCAUCUGCUUCCUCAUCCCCACUGUGGUUCAAUUACAGCGUCUACACCAAAGCAAUGGAGUGACUAUUUAUUUCCGAAGCUGCAAAAACAUAGCCUCAAUUUAACGCUUUGUGGUAAGAUGGAAUAUAUUUUAUCAUUUUUUAAUUUUUUAAUUUUUUAAUUUAUUAGAUUUAAUUUUUAUUAUUUUAAUUAUUAUUUAUUUUAUACGAGAUAAUUUAUAAAAUUAUUUUUUUUAAUUUCAUUUUCAUUCAACUUUUUAAUUUAUAAUAUUUUUUUCUUAUUAUUUUAAUAUACUUAAAAAAAUAUUAAUUAAUUAUUUCAGCUCAUUUUUCAUGACAUAACCAAACACUUCAAAGUAUUUUUCAAUUUAUUUUUUUAUAAAACUAUCAAACAUUAGAAAAUAAUUCACUUUUCAGAAAUUCAUUUUUUAGAAAAUCACUUUUCAGCAAACAAAAAAAGUCUUAAUUUAAAAAAUAAAUGUUAUUUUUAAUAAUUAGAUCUAUCAAAUAUCACUUAAUUAUAUCAUUAUUUUAUUGGUAGCAACUUCUGAGUCUUUUAAGCCAAAAAAAAAAAAAUAGUAGCUAGGAAAAGCUAAAAUCAGCCAGGAAUAUUUAGAGUCAGUUUGAUUUUAUUGUUUAUUCUUUGAUUUCUUGAUAAAAAUUUUAAAUUCUUGAAAACUUAUAUGUUUUGAUUUUAUUUCUUUUUAAAAAACAAAAGGCCAACAAUCACUAACAUAAUUUCUUAAAAUCACUUUAGUUUAUUUAGAAAAUAUUGAAAACUGAUCUUUGUUUCUUUACAUUAAAAUAAAAAAUUGAAUAAUAUUUUUAUAUUUUAUUUCAAAUUCGAUAUUGUAAAACAAAAAUGAAAAUGAUGUGAUAUUAACCUUUUUUGUUAUAAAGUAAGUUUCUUAAUUAAAAGUGAAGGGGAUUUGUUUGUAAUAACAAAAUGCAUAUACAAUCAUGCACGUUUAAUUUUCUUUCUAAACUUGGAAGUUCUAUUGAAUUUGAUGGUUUAUAGGGGUACCAAGGACGUAGAUGGAUGUGAGAGCAUAAGAUCAUUUUACAGAGAAAUGCUUGAAAAUACUCCAAAUCAGUACGAUACUUCUGUCCGAGUUGAAUUUGAAGAUCAUUUUCCAAACUUGAAAGUUCUAUUAAAUGCUCUUUGAAAUCUUUUCGAUCUGAUUUGAAAUUGGACACCCUAGUUGUUAUUAUCCAUGAUGUAAUUUAUAUUUUCAAAUUACAACUUUUGAUGAAAAAUAUUUCCUUCUUUUUCUCACUUGCCCGCCAUAUUCUCAACAAAAUGAAAAUCCUUGAUCUUAGUUAGAAACAAAUUGGUUUUCUAGGAAGAGAUUAUUUGUUGGGAUAUAUUAUUUGAGUUGAUUCUUCAUCAUUUGAUGUUAUGAUUUAAGAUAAUUAAUGAAAAUUACUGAUAUAUAGGAAUGUUCAGAAGGCAUCCUUAAUUGUUCUAAUAAGUAAGGUCUUGUUAGUUUUUCAAUGUAUUAUUACAUGGUUUUUACUACUUUUUGGCCUUUUUUUUUUGUAUAUAAAACUUUUGUUUUUCUUGCCGGUUUGUCAUUAGUUUUAUGACACUAACACCAAUUAAUAAUAAAUCUUAGACUAUUAUUAAACAAAGAAAAAACAACCUUUUUUUCAUUAAAAAAAAAGAAGCAACUUGGUAUUGCAAUAGUGCUAAAAAAAUUGAGAAUCAAAUUAAGAAUUUUAAAAAAAUUAAUUGUUUCAAUCUAUAAUGAUUUGUGAGAGAAUGCAUAAUGCAAAGUCAAGAGAAAAAACUCCACACAACUUUGAAACCCUUUGAUGUGUUGAUUGAAAUUGGCAAGUGAGUUUACUCAUCACAUAUUGUUAUAUUGGUUUUAAGUCCAAAUAGACAUUUAAAAAGGGAGUUUUUCAUGAAUGCAACUGUAAACCCCGGAAAAAUAAAAAUAAAUAAAGUUGCUUAAAUUGAAAACUAACUAUAUGAGAAAUAAAAGUGAAGAAAUUCAUGUGUAUGGUUAAAUAAAAGACAAGAAUUCAGAAAUUUAAAGGAAAUGGGGCCUAAAUGCAAAUAAGAGAAAAUAUAGAGUAUAAAUACUCUUUCCUCACCAAAAAUCUGCAGGAACCAAAAUGAGAGAAAAUAGGGAGUUUUAUACCCAUUAUUGCAAAAUCAAGAGAGAAACACUAAAAUUUCAAGAACCCAUCCAAGAUUAAGAGUUUAUAGAUGGGAUAAACACUUGUGAGCAAGUGAUUAACAAGAAAUUGAACAAGAAGAAAAGAAAGGAGGGAGUUGAAAAUCUUCAACUGGUUAAAGAUCAAAAUCUUGAUUCGUACCGGGUAAGGUGUUCUAAACAUGAUCUUAAAAAUUCAUUUCAAAUUUGAUAAUGAAUUGAUGCCUUGAUUUUGAAUCAUAGGUUAGGGUUCUUAGACAUGAAUUGAGGAAAAAGUACUUAUUGUUAAAAUUAAGUUAAUUCAUGUGUGUGGUAUGUAGUUUAUGAAAGUAUUAUGUGAAGGGGAGGGGGAGACGAAUCUGGACAGACUUGUCUCCUGAUUUUCGGUGAGAUUUCAGGUAGGAGGAUGAGGGAAUUAUGAUAGGAUUCCUCAUAGAAAUUGUAGAUUUGGAUGUUAGCUAACCAAGAAAACUGAUCUUAUUCAAUUUGGAGAUGUAGAACUCCAGUUAUGGGUUACCAACCGAGACUGAGUCGUGACUGAUUCUAUAGGGCUGUAGAACUGAUGGGUUGAUAAGCAAUUUAGACUAUCAUGUAGGCAGAACUGGGUUCUCCUUCCUUCAGAGAACUUGUAGCCUCAUGUCUUAUAACUAUUGGAUAGUAACAGUUCAAUGUCUAGAUAGUAAUAGUUGGACAGUAACAGUUCAAUGUCUAGACAGUAACAGUUCAAACAGCAAUCGUUGGACAACAACCGUUGGAUAACAACAGUUGGACAGUAACAGUUCAAUGUCUAGACAGUAACAGUUGGACUGUAACAGUUCAAACAGCAACAGUUGGACAGUAACAGUUCAAUGUCUAGACAGUAACAGUUGGACAGUAACAGUUCAAACAACAACUGUUGGACAGUAACAGUUCAAUGUCUAAACAGUAACAGUUUAAAGUUAGAUAGUAACAGUAGACUUUCACGUGAAUAUUAUAUGUAAUAAUAUAAAAGAAUUGAGUCAUACGAACACUUGCACAUUGAGAUACUAGCUUUGAAAAUAUAUCUGAUAUAUGUAUGUUUGUUAUUACGAGGAAAUGAACAUGCAUAGAAAGUAACAUAUGAGUAAUGAAUGAAUAUGGAUUCUCCAUAAUAUCGGCUUGAAGGAAUCAUAACCAAAAACUUCCUUUUGAUUCAAGAGGAGCAACCAGGAUUGGAUCUUCUAUUAGGGGAGGUCACGAGACAGGCGGAGCAGGUGCGUGAUUUUUCCCUCCUAUUUGCACUUAUACAAUUUAAAAUUAUUCUGGUGAAUGCAAUUAUAAUAAAUAUCGUGUUCAAUAUAAAUAAAGUCUAGCGUAUUUAUAAGAUUAGCUUCGGCUAAUGACAUCCAUGAUAGGAGUACUGGGAAAUGAAUUACAAGAUUUGCUCCGGCUAAUGACAUCUAUGAUAGGAUUGCCGGGAAAUGAAUUACAAGAAUAGCUCCAGCUAAUGGCAUCCGUGAUAGGAGUGCCGGGAUAUGAAUUACAAGAUUAGUUCCGGUUAAUGACAUCCAUGAUAGGACUGCCGGGAGAUGGAUUAUAAGAUUAGCUUCGACUAAUGGUAUCCAUGGUAUGAUUGCCGGGAAAUGGAUCACAAGAAUAGACUUUACAAGGUCACCCAGUUCAUGCAAGUAAAUAAGAGUAUUCAAAUUAAGAAUAUGCAAAUGAGUGUCAAUUGGGUUUAAAAGAUUUACAAGCAAAAUAUAAGUUGUCUGUUAGAAUUCUUAUGGAUCCGAUAGAAAAUUAAUACUUCUUCCAUAUACAUUACAUGAGCAAAUGUAUAUUUCUUUUAUCAAUAUAAUGAUAUGUUUAUUUAUGUAACAGGUCCAUCAAAUAUCCAGGGAGAUUAUUAGUUUAGAACUCUACUUUGUCAAGCUUAUGUAAAUAUUUAACUUAAACAAAAGGGAAUUAACGCAUUUAUGUAGUAUGGUUUUGUGUAAACCGAUGUAUUUAUAAAAGUUCAGCUUAGCAUGUAGUACUUUAGUUAUCUUGUAAUUAACCAUUUUGAAAUGUUUAAGAAUACUUAUUAUGUUGUAAAUGCUUUCUUUGCAUGUUAGUAUUCCUUUUUCUUUUAAAUUUUAUAAUAUGAUAUGUGGGAUAUGUUUAUAUUGAACUUACUCGUAGGAUAUAUAUAUAUAUAUAUAUAUAUAUAUAUAUAUAUAUAUAUAUAUUGUGUGGAUUGUAUGAGAUGUUAAAAUUAUGAUGAUUGAUAUAAGAUCCGGAAUUAUGGGACCUUGUGAUGAUGAGUUGAUUGAGUAAAUUAAUAGUAGUCGAUAACUUGGGAUGUCCUAAAUACAAACGAAACUCUGCCGAAUUUUUGGUAGAUUUAAAAAAAAAAUUACCCUCAAAUUAAGAGAAUAUGUUGGGAUCUUUUAGCAUUAAUCAAGUCGUACAGCCGUGCUGUUAUAACAACCCUUUAUAUAUUCAAUAGGAAUGAUGGGAGAUUUUAAUGUGUUGUGAAUGCAUUCAUUUAUAUAUGGAUGGUUUUGCUAAGAAUUGGUUGGUAAAAAACUUAAUUUCGUUAUAUAAAAACCGAAGAGAGAACAAUAAAUAACUAAGAAUUGAAGUGAAAAAAAUAAUUUGUGUGUAUAUGCUAAUUGAAAUGAAGAUUAAAAUAAAAAAGACAAAAAAAAAGGACUCGUUAAGAUUUUAUGUAAGUGUUCAACAUAUUUUUUCUUAUUUUAUUUUUUUUAAUUGGAUUACCUUUGUCUUUCAUGUCAAGUAAAAUUCUGGUAUAUAACACUAAAUUAAAAAAAAUAAGAGGUGAAUUAAAGGUCUAAAUAAAUCAACUACAUUUGAUAUACUCAACUCUCAGCAAAUUGAAAUUUCAAGGCUAUUCGUAUCUUGAAAACACAAUCUCAAUAAUCUUAAUGUGAGGAGUGAUUUCUUUUCUAUUAUUUUUUUUUCUUUGGAUCAAAAGGGUCUUAUUGAAUUAUUAUUUGUUAGGUAACUAAGAUUUGUUGAUGUGAAAAAUAGCACUAAGUUUUUGGCAUGGCCAUCGGUGUGAAAAAUAGCACUAAGUUUUUGGCAUGGCCAUCGGUGAGAAUCAAAAGCAGCAGCAAUCCAUCAGGAUCAUCAUCAUCCUAUCGCUUUGCCGUACUGUUUAUCUUCUUGGCAUUAUUCAAAGGAACGCAAAAGGACAUUCCAAGUGUGAAAGUGUAUUAUUGUCAUAAAGUUUUUCAAACUUCCAAUAUAGAGUGAAAUAAAGGGCAAAAGGAAACAACCCCCAUCUGUCUUGUUCCCAUUCCCUUCUUUACAUGGCUUACUCAAUGAAAAAGCAAACACCCCAUUUGAUUUUCAAUCAGUAUGAGAGUGAGAAAGAGAGAGGCCAAGGUGGUCAUUGAAUAUUUUGUUCUUUUAUGUCUCGCUCAAUGGGGCAAACCAUCUUUUUUCAAAAUUUUGAAUAGCAUGCCAUCAAAAAGAAUUUUGUUCAAUCCCAAUCCCACAUUGUCUGUAGAACUAUUUACUUUUGACUGUACACUUUGUUAUUUUCCAAUCCCUCCCCAGUUCUGCAACCAUUUCUCUACUUUCUAUGCUCUUGGCUUGCUAGAAACUAAAGAAAACACAUUGCUCUAGUUGCCUGCCUUCACUCUUCAGAUUGCUCAACAAAUCCCUUGAGACCUUCUCCAUAGUUAACACAUCACAUAAUGGCUACUCUAAAAAAUUUAGCCAUAAACAUUGAACACCUUAAGCAAUCAACGUGCCUUCCUUCACAAUAUGCAUCACCCAUAAAUCUUUCUUUUGGGAUGU
RNAcentral lists this long non-coding RNA (41906 nucleotides) under Populus trichocarpa (black cottonwood). Its description in RNAcentral is "long non-coding RNA (PTRI_LNC004308)". The record is from RNAcentral. Lineage: Eukaryota; Viridiplantae; Streptophyta; Magnoliopsida; Malpighiales; Salicaceae.